GAUGAACGCUAGCGGAAGGCUUAAUACAUGCAAGUCGAGCGGUAGGUGGCUUCGGCCAUUGAGAGCGGCGCACGGGUGAGUAACGCGUACAUGACCUGCCUGUCAGAAGGGGAUAGCCCUGGGAAACUGGGAUUAAUACCCUAUGGUAUUGAUAUUAUGAAUGAUAUCAAUUAAAGUUGAGGCGCUGACAGAUGGAUGUGCGUCUGAUUAGCUAGUUGGUAGGGUAACGGCCUACCAAGGCGACGAUCAGUAGGGGGCGUGAGAGCGUGGUCCCCCACACGGGUACUGAGACACGGACCCGACUCCUACGGGAGGCAGCAGUAAGGAAUAUUGGUCAAUGCCCGCAAGGGUGAACCAGCCAUUCCGCGUGGAGGAUGAAGGCCCUAUGGGUUGUAAACUUCUUUUAGAUGGGAAGAAAAUGCUAGAUGUAAUCUGGUACUGACGGUAUCAUCAGAAUAAGCACCGGCUAACUCCGUGCCAGCAGCCGCGGUAA
RNAcentral lists this ribosomal RNA (493 nucleotides) under uncultured bacterium. Its description in RNAcentral is "bacterial SSU rRNA". It matches the Rfam family "Bacterial small subunit ribosomal RNA", at positions 28 to 523 of the family's 1533-position model. The record is from RNAcentral.